CGGGAUGUGGCGCAGUCUGGUAGCGUAUACGCCUGGGGGGCGUGGGGUCGCAAGUUCGAAUCUUGUCAUCCCGACCA
RNAcentral lists this transfer RNA (77 nucleotides) under Salegentibacter holothuriorum. RNAcentral describes it as "tRNA_Pro_GGG". It matches the Rfam family "tRNA". Rfam says of the family: Transfer RNA (tRNA) molecules are approximately 80 nucleotides in length. Their secondary structure includes four short double-helical elements and three loops (D, anti-codon, and T loops). RNAcentral also lists the same sequence under 2 other names. Lineage: Bacteria; Pseudomonadati; Bacteroidota; Flavobacteriia; Flavobacteriales; Flavobacteriaceae. The record is from RNAcentral.